AUUGAACGCUGGCGGCAUGCCUUACACAUGCAAGUCGAACGGCAGCACGGAGCUUGCUCUGGUGGCGAGUGGCGAACGGGUGAGUAAUAUAUCGGAACGUACCCUAGAGUGGGGGAUAACGUAGCGAAAGUUACGCUAAUACCGCAUACGAUCUAAGGAUGAAAGUGGGGGAUCGCAAGACCUCAUGCUCGUGGAGCGGCCGAUAUCUGAUUAGCUAGUUGGUAGGGUAAAAGCCUACCAAGGCAUCGAUCAGUAGCUGGUCUGAGAGGACGACCAGCCACACUGGAACUGAGACACGGUCCAGACUCCUACGGGAGGCAGCAGUGGGGAAUUUUGGACAAUGGGCGAAAGCCUGAUCCAGCAAUGCCGCGUGAGUGAAGAAGGCCUUCGGGUUGUAAAGCUCUUUUGUCAGGGAAGAAACGGUGGGAGCUAAUAUCUCUUGCUAAUGACGGUACCUGAAGAAUAAGCACCGGCUAACUACGUGCCAGCAGCCGCGGUAAUACGUAGGGUGCAAGCGUUAAUCGGAAUUACUGGGCGUAAAGCGUGCGCAGGCGGUUUUGUAAGUCUGAUGUGAAAUCCCCGGGCUCAACCUGGGAAUUGCAUUGGAGACUGCAAGGCUAGAAUCUGGCAGAGGGGGGUAGAAUUCCACGUGUAGCAGUGAAAUGCGUAGAUAUGUGGAGGAACACCGAUGGCGAAGGCAGCCCCCUGGGUCAAGAUUGACGCUCAUGCACGAAAGCGUGGGGAGCAAACAGGAUUAGAUACCCUGGUAGUCCACGCCCUAAACGAUGUCUACUAGUUGUCGGGUCUUAAUUGACUUGGUAACGCAGCUAACGCGUGAAGUAGACCGCCUGGGGAGUACGGUCGCAAGAUUAAAACUCAAAGGAAUUGACGGGGACCCGCACAAGCGGUGGAUGAUGUGGAUUAAUUCGAUGCAACGCGAAAAACCUUACCUACCCUUGACAUGGCUGGAAUCCUUGAGAGAUCAGGGAGUGCUCGAAAGAGAACCAGUACACAGGUGCUGCAUGGCUGUCGUCAGCUCGUGUCGUGAGAUGUUGGGUUAAGUCCCGCAACGAGCGCAACCCUUGUCAUUAGUUGCUACGAAAGGGCACUCUAAUGAGACUGCCGGUGACAAACCGGAGGAAGGUGGGGAUGACGUCAAGUCCUCAUGGCCCUUAUGGGUAGGGCUUCACACGUCAUACAAUGGUACAUACAGAGCGCCGCCAACCCGCGAGGGGGAGCUGAUCGCAGAAAGUGUAUCGUAGUCCGGAUUGUAGUCUGCAACUCGACUGCAUGAAGUUGGAAUCGCUAGUAAUCGCGGAUCAGCAUGUCGCGGUGAAUACGUUCCCGGGUCU
This 1352-nucleotide ribosomal RNA is filed under the name uncultured bacterium. RNAcentral describes it as "bacterial SSU rRNA". It matches the Rfam family "Bacterial small subunit ribosomal RNA", at positions 28 to 1381 of the family's 1533-position model. The record is from RNAcentral.